Molecule: microRNA precursor, 277 nt
Filed under: Medicago truncatula (barrel medic)
Lineage: Eukaryota; Viridiplantae; Streptophyta; Magnoliopsida; Fabales; Fabaceae
Description: MIR2655 microRNA precursor family
Rfam family: MIR2655 microRNA precursor family
Source: Rfam by way of RNAcentral
CCCUUAACUAAAAAAAGAUUGUUUGAGGAUUUUAAUUUUUUUUUUUAGUCUCGUUUUGGUCCAUUCUGUUAGGUUUCCGUUAGUUUUAAUAAAAAACGUUAAGUGUGGACACGUGUCACCUUGUCAUAAAAAAAAAAUCUCAGAGCCAAUGACAAGGUGACACGUGUCCAGGAGUUAACUUUUUUUUAAAACCCUAACGGAAACCUAACAGAAGGGACCAAAACGAGACUAAAAAAAAACUUAAAAUCCUCAAACAAUCUUUUUUUUAGUUAAGGGA